RNAcentral lists this long non-coding RNA (399 nucleotides) under Mytilus galloprovincialis (Mediterranean mussel). The record is from RNAcentral. Lineage: Eukaryota; Metazoa; Mollusca; Bivalvia; Mytilida; Mytilidae.
AAGAUAACUCUUCACCAAAUAUUAUCAUUAAAACCAUAUAGGGGCAGAGUCAUUGGACGUUCAAUCCGAAGCUUCAUGUAGGGGCAGAGCCACGGGACGUUCAAUCCAAAGCUUCAUAUAGGGGCAGAGCCACGGAACGUUCAAUCCAAAGCUUCAUAUAGGGGCAGAGCCACGGGACGUUCAAUCCAAAGCUUCAUAUAGGGGCAGAGCCACGGGACGUUCAAUCCAAAGCUUCAUGUAGGGGCAGAGCUACGGGACGUUCAAUCCAAAACUUCAUGUAGGGGCAGAGCCACGGGACGUUCAAUCCAAAGCUUCAUAUAGGGGCAGUUCCACGACCUCUGCGCGUUAAAGAGCAACUCUUUGAGUUCUUAGUUAGUAUUCCUUACAAAUAAAAGGUGC